GAUGAAGAACGUAGUGAAAUGCGAUAAGUAAUGUGAAUUGCAGAAUUCCGUGAAUCAUCGAAUCUUUGAACGCAUAUUGCGCCCGCUGGUAUUCCGGCGGGCAUGCCUGUUCGAGCGUCAUUUCAACCCUCAAGCCCCCGGGUUUGGUGUUGGGGAUCGGCUCUGCCCUUCUGGGCGGUGCCGCCCCCGAAAUACAUUGGCGGUCUCGCUGCAGCCUCCAUUGCGUAGUAGCUAACACCUCGCAACUGGAACGCGGCGCGGCCAUGCCGUAAAACCCCAACUUCUGAAUGUUGACCUCGGAUCAGGUAGGAAUACCCGCUGAACUUAAGCAUAUCAAUAAGCGGAGGA
Molecule: unclassified non-coding RNA, 348 nt
Filed under: soil metagenome
Description: partial contains 5.8S ribosomal RNA, internal transcribed spacer 2, and large subunit ribosomal RNA
Rfam family: 5.8S ribosomal RNA (bases 1-120)
Source: RNAcentral